AAGUUCCUGAGGUGCCUAAGAAGGUGGAAGAAAAACGAAUCAUUCUCCCUAAAGAAGAGGAAGUUCUACCAGUUGAAGUGACUGAGGAGCCUGAAGAAGAGCCUAUUUCAGAAGAAGAAAUCCCAGAAGAACCACCUAGCAUAGAGGAAGUUGAAGAGGUGGCACCACCUAGAGUGCCUGAAGUGAUUAAGAAAGCAGUACCUGAAGCACCUACUCCUGUUCCUAAAAAAGUGGAGGCACCACCAGCUAAAGUGUCAAAGAAAAUUCCUGAGGAAAAAGUACCUGUUCCUGUUCAGAAAAAAGAGGCACCCCCAGCCAAAGUACCGGAGGUGCCUAAGAAAAUUGUGGUAGAAGAAAAAGUACGUGUUCCUGAAGAGCCCAGAGUUCCACCAACUAAAGUGCCUGAAGUGCUGCCACCGAAGGAAGUGGUCCCAGAAAAGAAAGUACCGGUGCCUCCUGCCAAAAAGCCAGAAGCUCCACCUCCUAAAGUGCCUGAGGCUCCCAAAGAAGUUGUUCCUGAAAAGAAAGUGCCAGUGCCUCCUCCUAAAAAGCCUGAAGUGCCACCCACAAAAGUCCCAGAGGUGCCAAAGGCAGCUGUCCCAGAAAAGAAGGUGCCUGAAGCUAUUCCUCCCAAACCGGAAAGUCCUCCCCCUGAAGUGCCUGAAGUGCUGCCACCGAAGGAAGUGGUCCCAGAAAAGAAAGUACCGGUGCCUCCUGCCAAAAAGCCAGAAGCUCCACCUCCUAAAGUGCCUGAGGCUCCCAAAGAAGUUGUUCCUGAAAAGAAAGUGCCAGUGCCUCCUCCUAAAAAGCCUGAAGUGCCACCCACAAAAGUCCCAGAGGUGCCAAAGGCAGCUGUCCCAGAAAAGAAGGUGCCUGAAGCUAUUCCUCCCAAACCGGAAAGUCCUCCCCCUGAAGUGCCUGAAGUGCUGCCACCGAAGGAAGUGGUCCC
RNAcentral lists this long non-coding RNA (949 nucleotides) under Homo sapiens (human). RNAcentral's name for it is "HSALNT0044064". Lineage: Eukaryota; Metazoa; Chordata; Mammalia; Primates; Hominidae. The record is from RNAcentral.